UACGAAGGGGGCUAGCGUUGUUCGGAAUCACUGGGCUUAAAGGGCGCGUAGGCGGACCAUCAAGUCAGGAGUGAAAUCCCCCGGCUCAACCGGGGAAGUGCUUUUGAUACUGGUGGUCUCGAGUGGGGUAGGGGCGUGCGGAACUUCCGGUGGAGCGGUGAAAUGCGUAGAGAUCGGAAGGAACGCCGGUGGCGAAAGCGGCACGCUGGACCCUUUCUGACGCUGAGGCGCGAAAGCCAGGGGAGCAAACGGG
RNAcentral lists this ribosomal RNA (253 nucleotides) under uncultured bacterium. RNAcentral's name for it is "partial 16S ribosomal RNA". It matches the Rfam family "Bacterial small subunit ribosomal RNA", at positions 524 to 776 of the family's 1533-position model. The record is from RNAcentral.